AGAGUUUGAUCCUGGCUCAGAACGAACGCUGGCGGCGUGCCUAACACAUGCAAGUCGAACGGAGUGAAGGAGCUUGCUCUUUCAUUUAGUGGCGCACGGGUGAGUAACGCGUAGAUAAUCUGCCUUGGACUCUGGGAUAACAUCUCGAAAGGGGUGCUAAUACCGGAUAAGCCCACGAUGGCGUAAGUCAUUGCGGGAAAAGGGGGCCUCUGAAUAUGCUCCUGAUUCAAGAUGAGUCUGCGUACCAUUAGCUAGUUGGUAGGGUAAGAGCCUACCAAGGCGACGAUGGUUAGCUGGUCUGAGAGGAUGAUCAGCCACACUGGAACUGAGACACGGUCCAGACUCCUACGGGAGGCAGCAGUGGGGAAUUUUGCGCAAUGGGGGAAACCCUGACGCAGCAACGCCGCGUGAGUGAUGAAGGCUUUCGGGUCG
RNAcentral lists this ribosomal RNA (432 nucleotides) under uncultured bacterium. RNAcentral describes it as "bacterial SSU rRNA". It matches the Rfam family "Bacterial small subunit ribosomal RNA", at positions 8 to 425 of the family's 1533-position model. The record is from RNAcentral.